This 199-nucleotide ribosomal RNA is filed under the name uncultured bacterium. RNAcentral describes it as "partial 16S ribosomal RNA". It matches the Rfam family "Bacterial small subunit ribosomal RNA", at positions 328 to 539 of the family's 1533-position model. The record is from RNAcentral.
ACGCUCGACACCUACGGGAGGCNGCAGUUGGGAAUAUUGGACAAUGGAGGAAACUCUGAUCCAGUGACGCCGCGUGAAGGAAGAAGGUCUUCGGAUUGUAAACUUAUUUUGUCAGGGAAGAAAAAUGACUGUACCUGAAGAAAAAGCACCGGCUAACUACGUGCCGGCAGCCGUGGUAAUCUGAGCGGGCUGGCAAGGC